GAUGAACGCUGGCGGCGUGCUUAACACAUGCAAGUCGAACGGAAAGGCCCAAGCUUGCUUGGGUACUCGAGUGGCGAACGGGUGAGUAACACGUGGGUGAUCUGCCCUGCACUUCGGGAUAAGCCUGGGAAACUGGGUCUAAUACCGGAUAGGACGAUGGUUUGGAUGCCAUUGUGGAAAGUUUUUUCGGUGUGGGAUGAGCUCGCGGCCUAUCAGCUUGUUGGUGGGGUAAUGGCCUACCAAGGCGUCGACGGGUAGCCGGCCUGAGAGGGUGUACGGCCACAUUGGGACUGAGAGACGGCCCAGACUCCUACGGGGGGCAGCAGUGGGGAAUAUUGCACAAUGGGCGCAAGCCUGAUGCAGCGACGCCGCGUGGGGGAUGACGGCCUUCGGGUUGUAAACUCCUUUCGCUAGGGACGAAGCGUUUUUGUGACGGUACCUGGAGAAGAAGCACCGGCUAACUACGUG
This 468-nucleotide ribosomal RNA is filed under the name uncultured bacterium. Its description in RNAcentral is "partial 16S ribosomal RNA". It matches the Rfam family "Bacterial small subunit ribosomal RNA", at positions 28 to 507 of the family's 1533-position model. The record is from RNAcentral.